RNAcentral lists this ribosomal RNA (400 nucleotides) under phytoplankton environmental sample. RNAcentral's name for it is "partial small subunit ribosomal RNA". It matches the Rfam family "Eukaryotic small subunit ribosomal RNA", at positions 587 to 992 of the family's 1831-position model. The record is from RNAcentral.
AGCUCCAAUAGCGUAUAUUAAAGUUGUUGCAGUUAAAAAGCUCGUAGUUGGAUUUGUGGCUGUCGCAUGCGGCCCGCAUUCGUGCGGUGUUUGCUAGCGUCGCCAUCCUUGGGUGGAACCUGUGUGGCAUUAGGUUGUCGGCCGCUUCGCGCCCGUCGUUUACUGUGAAAAAAUUAGAGUGUUCAAAGCAGGCUUAGGCCGUUGGAUACAUUAGCAUGGAAUAAUGAGAUAGGGCCACGGCGGUCUAUUUUGUUGGUUUGCACGUUGUGGUAAUGAUUAACAGGAACGGUUGGGGGUAUUCGUAUUCAAUUGUCAGAGGUGAAAUUCUUGGAUUUGUGGAAGACGAACUACUGCGAAAGCAUUUACCAAGGAUGUUUUCAUUAAUCAAGAACGAAAGUAG